AUAUAUUGAAGGAAUUAUCAAAGUGUACGGGUACCCAAAGAAACAGGAAACUUUUGCUCGUGUGUUGGGAUAUUGUGAGCAAACUGAUAUCCACUCUCCUCACGUUACAGUCUAUGAGUCCUUGCUUUAUUCUGCAUGGCUUCGGUUACCUUCUGAAGUCGAUUCGGCAACCAGGAAGGUUCACAUUCUAAUUGAUAGAGGGCCUAGGGAACUAAGACAAAAUAUUCAGAAUACAAAAGAUGAAGUUCAAUUUAAGCAUAUCAGAUGAUACUGACUUGUAUUCCAACUAAUUGGUUGCAGAUGUUCAUUGAGGAGGUUAUGGAGCUUGUGGAACUAAACUCAUUGAGGGAAGCACUUGUUGGAUUGCCCAGUGAAAAUGGUCUGUCAACAGAGCAGCGCAAGAGACUGACCAUUGCAGUUGAGCUUGUUGCCAACCCAUCUAUAAUAUUCAUGGAUGAGCCAACAUCUGGGCUUGAUGCCAGGGCAGCAGCAAUAGUGAUGAGAACAGUGAGGAACACAGUGGACACAGGAAGAACUGUAGUGUGCACCAUCCACCAGCCAAGCAUAGAUAUAUUUGAUGCCUUUGAUGAGGUGAGAUGUCCUUUUAUAGGAUUAAAAAAAAACAAAUUAUCUACUUUCAUUUCCAAGUUUAAUGAAAGGACUAAGUAUUUCAAUCUCAAAUUGCAGCUACUUCUCUUGAAACGGGGAGGCGAAGAAAUUUACGCAGGCCCAAUAGGUCGCCAUUCUUCCCAUCUGAUCAAGUACUUUGAGGUGAGGCUAACAGGGACAUGAUUCAUACUAUGACGGUUUUAUUUCCUAUACUUUCUCCUCAUAUGGUUUUGGAUCUUAUCAUGUAGGGAAUUAAUGGAGUUAGUAAGAUUAAAGAUGGUUAUAACCCAUCAACUUGGAUGUUAGAGGUGACUUCGGCAGCACAAGAGGUAGCUCUAGGAGUGAACUUCACUGAAGAAUACAAGAACUCAGAACUGUAUAGGUAGGAGGAUCAAACUCUCAAGUCUAUUUCAAAAUUGGUCAUGGUUGGAACACAGCUUAAAGUUUUGAAAUAGGCAAAAUCAAGGGGAAGAAUGACAACAUUCUUGAAGAUCUGCCUUACUUUUGCAGUUUUGAUAUUAACACCCUACUGUGAAUGCAUCAGGAGAAACAAGGCAUUGAUCAAGGAACUGAGUUCACCCCCUCCAGGGUCAAAAGACCUUUACUUCUCAACUCAAUAUUCACAAUCUUUCUUCACACAAUGUUUGGCUUGCCUAUGGAAACAGCACUGGUCAUAUUGGAGAAACCCAGCAUACACUGCCGUGAGAUUGUUCUUCACAACCUUCAUAGCUUUAAUGCUUGGGACAAUAUUCUGGGAUUUUGGCUCCAAAAGGUAAUUUCCAAAUAACUAAUACCUAUGAUGGGAUAGUGAAUAGUUUCUAAUCUCCAGUCCUAAUUUGAUUAUAAUUUUGGGAGUUGUAGGAAAAGGCAACAGGAUCUCUUCAAUGCAAUGGGUUCUAUGUAUGCUGCAGUUAUCUCCAUAGGGAUACAAAAUGCCUCAUCUGUACAGGCAGUUGUAGCCAUUGAGAGAACAGUCUUUUACAGAGAAAGAGCAGCUGGAAUGUAUUCACCUUUCCCAUAUGCCUUUGGACAGGUAAGCAAUAAGAAUAAAAGCCUUCUUUUCCAAACUUUCAGAAUAAGAAAUGGCCCUGACCAAAUCCCCAUUUCUCUGCAGGUUAUGAUUGAGCUCCCACACAUAUUCAUCCAAACCAUCAUCUAUGGACUUAUAGUAUAUGCCAUGGUUGGGUUUGAGUGGACAGUCACUAAAUUCUUCUGGUAUCUUUUCUUCAUGUACUUCACCUUCUUAUACUUCACAUUCUAUGGGAUGAUGGCAGUAGCCAUUACUCCUAACCAACACAUCUCCGGCAUAGUUUCCUCUGCUUUCUAUGGAUUAUGGAACCUCUUCUCGGGAUUCAUCAUUCCGCACACAGUAAGUACAAACGAUUUCUACCCGGGUGAUAUCACAAUUAAUAAGGACUAACCUGUUUCCUCCCAUUUUUUUUCCCUUUGACAGAGGAUUCCAGUGUGGUGGAAAUGGUACUUCUGGUCAUGUCCGGUGUCUUGGACUUUGUAUGGAUUGCUUGUCACACAAUUUGGGGACAUAAAGGAGAGGCUUGAGAGUGGGGAAAGAGUAGAAGAUUUCGUAAGGAGCUACUUUGGGUAUAGAAAUGACUUUGUGGGAGUUGUUGCAGGCAUCGUAGUUGGGAUAACUGUGCUGUUUGGAUUCAUCUUCGCCUACUCAAUCAGGGCUUUUAACUUCCAGAAAAGAUGAGAAUGACCCCAUGCAGAAGAAAUAUAUAUAGACACUUCUGUUUCAUGAAUCCUAGAGAUGUUAAAUUUGAAGACAGGAGCUUCAGUCUAGCUAUAUCCUAUUUAGGUUGCAGAGAUUUGUUCUUCUUUAUUUUGGUUUCUUAUUUUCAUUUGACAAUGAAGCCAAUUUAGUGGAAAAGCAUUAGAUCCAUGUAAUGAUCUUGAUUAGUAUGCAUUGAGUUAGAGUGAAAAGCAUCUAGAAACUGAUGGAAAAUUCCAAGGUUGAAUUCGAUUGUGCAAAAGUAUCACAUCAAUUCAUUUAUGUUUUUCAAACAGUGCCUUAGAGCCCGUUUGAUAAUGAUUUUAAGAAGCGUUUUUAAUUUAAAAGCGUUUUUGAAAGAACAUUAGGUAUUUGACAAAAUUUAGGAAACACUUGUAAAAAUUUGAAAAAACGGUUAGAAUGUGUUUGAUAGUAAUAUUGAUAAAUGUUUCCAACAUUUCUAAUACUUGAAAAAUAAAAAUUUUCAAGUGUUAGAAAUGUUGAAAAACACUUACCAGAAUCAGUGUCAAACGCAUUCUUAUAGUGUUGAAAAAUCACUUAUAGUAUUUCUUAGAGAAACAUUUUAUAGACAAUUCUUUAAAAAAUGCUUCAUAAGAAAACACUUUGACUAAAAACACUUUGAGUAGAAAUACUCUCAAGCAUACUCUUAGUCUCUCAUAUGGUAGUUUUCACACUUACAUUCCAUAAGAAAAACUAAAGAAAUCUAUAUUGAAAGGUAAAUAAGAACAAAGGUCCAAUGAAAUCUAUACACAAAAGCAUAAAAGCCCUCCUAACCUAAUAAAAAGUAUUUAUAUCAUAACCUUAAAAUGACAUUUAACACAUUUUCAUUAGCCACAUAAACCAAAGUAUUCUUUAAAAACCCUCAUUCACUAAAACAAUCUCUAAAAUUAUAAUUUUUUAUUUGAAAAAUGCAAUAGUCUAGGUCAAAUCAAUUUUGUACAUAUCUGAAAUUAAAAUUUUGAUGUGAAACCGAUUUCUCUUGAAAUCUUGAACUCCCAAAUAGGUUUCAAGAUCUCAUAAAUCAAAAUUUUGAUGCCACAUACUGGUUGCUCCUCCACAUGUUAUUCUCAAAUUGAUUUGAAAUCAGAAAACCGAUUUGACACACUACCUUGAUUGAAACAUCUAUCGUUGAAAUUGAUUUUUUUUUUUUAAAUCGAUUUGUUAUGGUCCACACUAAUUUUGCAUUAGUGAUGGUAGUUUUGCGGACUAUCCGAGUAACCCACCCUGCCCCACUCCUAUUGGGAUGGUUAUGCUCAAUGAUAAUCAAGGAUGGGAUGGGUUUGGGAAAUUUUUCAAAACCCGAAUCGGGUUUAAGGCGGGGAUGGGUUUUGUACCACCCCACCCCACUCGCCUUACCAAGUUACAAAUUUAGCAUUCAAAUUUUAUAAAAUAUCAAACAACUUCCUAUUAUAAAUAAUGUCUUUUUUCAUAUUUGCCUCAUACCAGCCAUUGCUCUCCUCUCAUCUCUACAUAUUGCCCAUUUCUACUUCAAGCUUCAGAAAUCCAUCUUCAAGGAUAAAGCCAGGAAGAGCAACAAAAUCAAGAAACAUUCAUGAAGAAACCCUUUUCUCUUCUUCAAAUAUAAGUGGAAUCACAACGAUGAUUGGCUCGAUUGCAAUUGCAACAACUUCGAUAUUCAUUGUCAAAGCCUUCAAAGCCUCCAUUUCAAGCCCUCUUUUCUUUAGAAGGUUUGGGUUUUGAUUUGGUUUUUAACCCUAGUUAUAUUUUAGGGUUUUAUCCAAUUGGAUUGUGUAGAAAUAUUUGAUUUUUAUGGAAAUUUUUUAUGAUUUUUCCUUUUUAAUUUUAGUUUUGGUUUGAUAAUCAACUUUCAUCCCAUAUUAUUCCAAGUGUGAAUCUAUCUCAAGUCUCAAACCCAUUCUUUUUUUUUUUUUUCCAAUAUUUUCUUAAGACCAUUGUGGUCUCUCCAAAUUUUUUUGGUGUUUUUUGCUUUUUAAGAAAAGUGUAUAAGUAUGAAAAUUGUGAAUUUUUUCAUUGAGAAUUUUGUGAAUUGAUGUAAUGUCCUUGGUUUUGGGAAAAUCAUCCUCCUCAUCCAAAUAGAAAUACAUAACUAGGUUGAGAUAUGCGGGAAUGGGUUUAUCAUUUUUUCUAUAAACAAGGAUGGGGACUCAUCAACAUACCCCGGCUCGGGUUUGGGACAAGGAUGGGGAAGGAUUAUAUAAUUGGGAUGGGAAUAAGAUAAGGGGUGCCUCAUCCUAAUCCUGCCUUGUUGCUAUCCUUAUUUUCCAUGCUAUUGUUGAUUUUUCUUGCAUUUUCUUUUCUUAGCACUUUGUAGCUACUACUUAGGUCUCCUCCUAAGCAUACUCAUACCUCCAUUCCAUCACGCAUGCUAGGGUUGUAUCAAACCUCUCACAUCUUCUCCAUUUUCUAACUUUUCACUCAAAAAUUGUAUGUUAUACUUAAAUAUGGCAUUAGUACAAAUCUAAGCCAAAGGUAGUGAUUUGUCUAAGUUCUUCUAUCUAAAACAAAGCCAUUAACAUUUUUAUAAGUUUGAAUUUGGGCAUAAAUCAUCCCUCUCAAUUUUAUCUUUACUAGUCCUUAGAAAAAGUAAAAAAGCAAAAAUGGAGAUAAAACCAUCCAUGCAAGCUUACUAAGAUGAUAUAUUCUCAAUACAAAAGUCAUCCAUAGAUAUAAUAAUUCAAGAGUUAGGAUUAAACACAAUGUAAGUAGCUCAUAAGUAUGUCAAUCUUGUACCUUUACACACAAGCAUGCAUCCAUGUUUAGUACUUACCUAGAAAGCAUCACCCAUACUCUUAGAACAAGAUCUAAUUCCCUAAUGAUGUAUGCUCAUAAACUAUCGUUGACUCAAGUUUAUAUAACGAACAAAGUGUUGAUGGUUUCAAACUAGUUGAUUUUGAGGACCACAAUAUAAAUGCACUCGACCGGUACUCUCUCAGGAUGCUUGCUCAAGCUUACAAAAAUUCAAAUAAAAUCUUCUUGAAAUACCAAAAAAAAUCUGCCUAAUUCUGGUGGAUUCAGGACGAGUACUUGAGUGCUUGAGCGUUGGAUAACAGCAUGAGUGGCUCCACCACUUGAGCAUCCCUUGCUUUUCCAAAAUAUUAAUUUAAGUAUUUUUAAUUCAAUAAAAACAUACUAUUCACUUAACCCUUUAAACAUCUCACUUGUCACAAAUCAAACAUUUUUAAACUUACCUAUAACUUUUCAGUUGAUUGAACAAUAACUUUAAAUCUUCAAUGAAGAGUAAAUUAUUACCUAAAAAGUUUCUUAAACUAAAAAAUAAAUUAAAAUAAAAUUACCAACAAAUAAUGUAGACUUAUUGUCCUAACACUUGAGAAUUUUAAGAAUUACUAUCAUUAUCAUUUGAUUUUGGUUUAAAAAGUUAGAUGUUCUUAAUUCCUACUAGCGCAAAUGAUUACACCCAAAAACUAAUUUUUUACAAUUUGUGAUUAUCUUAAUGUUUUAAUUUAUCUAAGUAUAAAAAUAAAUAAUCAAUCACCUUAAGAAAUGUGCGUUCUACACAAGGUUCGAAAAAUUGGAAUAUUUCGCCGAAAGCAAAAUAUUGGAUAUCGGAGGUGGCUGAAAACGGCCGCCGAUUAUUGGGCUGAUUUUUUGGCGAAAAAAUUCAGAAGCGGCUGCAAGCGCGUGGGAGGAUCUCACGCAAAAAAUUGGCUAUUUUUUAAAAAAUCGCAUAUUUAUCGCGGAUAAAUCACUAUAAAUUGGGCAAUUUUUUUUUAAAAAAAAUCGCUGAUUUUAACUUUUUUUUUUUUUAAAUAUUUAUCCUUUUUAUUUUUUAAUUAUUCAUUUCUAAUUUAUCUUUUAUUUUAAAUUUAUACUAUUAUUUUAUUUUUAGCUACUUUUCAUAUUUAUCUCAUUAAUCAUAUUUUAAAAAAUCAAUAUCACUUUAAAAUAUUAAAAAUAUAAUUUUAUUUAAAAAUUGUUGAAAUAUAAAAGUUUUAAUAUUUUAUAAAUUAAAAUUAAUUUGAUAAGAUAAAUUAUUAAUAUAAUUUUUAAUAAUUUUAAUUAUUUAAAUAAAUUAAUGUUAAUAGAAAAAAUUGUAAACACAAAUUUGUAAUAAGAUUUUAGAAACUAAGGUAGUGUUUGUUUUUUGACUGAAUAGAAAAAUUGAUAUCAAACGGGUUACUUUUAAUUUAAUAGAAAAAGUCAAAUAUUUUGACUUUUUUUAUUCAAGCAAAAAACAAACAUCACCUAAAUCUCAAAUGAAUUAUUUUAUGUAGAUUAAUUUAACUUUUUAUUUAAAAUGUAUUAAUACAUGUUUUAAUAAAAGUUGUUUUUAAUUUUUAAAAUAAAUAAAUAUAAAUAUAUUAAAGAAAUUUAAACUAAUUUUUUUAUAAAAAAAAUUCAUAAAUAUUAUCUUUAAUUAUAUUUAUAUCAAUUUGUGGACCCCGUAUUUCGCUCAUGUGCUUCACUCGAUGGGGAGCUCGUUUUUUAUUUAAAAAUGAUUUUAUUUUUUUAAGAAAAUAACUUGGAGUUGCCACUUAUUUUUGUUUUAUUUUUAAAAGGUAAACAAAAUAAGAAAGAAAACCUUGUUUUUGAAAAGGUGGUUUAUGAAAAAUCGGAUCAGGGCUAGGUUACUUAUUGGGAAGGUACGGUAAAAACCGUAGCACCCCUCUAAGUCCCAAAAAGGGGUCUCUACUAAUAAAAUGAAACAAUCAUGGAAAUUGAUAAGUAGAUCACUAGAUACCGAAUGAAAAAUCAAAACAAAAUGCCCAAAUGAAUAUAAGAGGCAAAGAACGUACCUGAGUUAUGAACGAAUUUAUUUCUUUGGAAGCAAAGGUUAGUGAAUAAACAUAGAAGCAUAUCAUAGAACAGGACAAAUCCAUCACGUAUAACAAUCAAAUCAAUCAAUCAAUCAUAAAAUCACAUAUGUUGGGCCCUCACCAAUGCCCGAUCGAUCUUGUAUGAAUUAAUCGCACAAAUUCCAUUAGUUUGGAAUUAUGAAAAUUGUCUUUGUGCUUAUUGAGAAUCAAGAAGAACCGGAGAUUAUUUGGAAACCAGAGUGGACUUAAAACCGUUUAAGAGAAAAUCGGAUUUUUGAAAUUUGCUUAAAAAUUGGAGUCUCGAGGAUUUGUUUGAAAAUUGGAGUCUUGAGAAUUAAAUUUGAAGAUUGAAAAUUUAGAAACUGAAUUUGAAAGAAAUUGGAAUUGACAAUUAUUUGAGAAGUAGAAACUGUGAAAAUUUUAUUAUAUAAAUUGGAAUCUUUGGAAAUUGUUCGAAUCGAAGGUGGAAUUCUUUUGAAAAUAAACAAAUAAAAUGAGAAUAAUAAUAAUAAUAAUAAUAAAUAAAUAAAUAAAAUAAAUGUGAAAAUUGGUAUUUUGGAAAUUGGAAAUUAAGUUCGGGAAUUAGAAAACUGGAAUUUCAAAAAUUGAGAGUUGAAUUCAGGAAUUGGAAUUUUGAAGGGUUAUUUAGAGAAAGAAUUUUAAAUAAAUGAAUAAGUAAAUAAACAAAUAAACGGAAUAAUAAUAAUAACGAAAAUAAUAAUGAUUAGAUUAAUUGUGAAAAUUGGAAAUUGAAUUUAGAAAUUGGAAAUUAAAUUUGGAAAUUGGAAAUUUGAAGAAUUAUUUAAGCAGAAUUUUAAGUAAAUGAAUAAGUCAAUAAAUAAAUAAACAGAAUAAUAACAAUUACAAAAAUAAUAAUGAUUAGAUAAAUAAUUGUGAAAAUUGGAAUUUUGGAACUUGGAAAUUAAAUUUGGAAAUUUGAAGAAUUAUUUAGAAAUAAAAUUUUAAAUAAAUAAAAUAAUAAUAAUAACGAAAAUAAUAAUUAAAUAAAUGAACGUGAAUAUUGGAAUUUUUUAAAUUGGAAAUUAAAGAAUUUUGAAAAGAUAUGUAAGGAUUAAACAUAAGAGCUCCGGCAGAUUUCUGAAGAGCGACUGAGGUGCCGCUAACGUGGCAAGUCAUGGGAAUGUCGACAUCGCCCAGGAACCUAACCCCCACCAUGACAAUCGGGAUCGAAGGACGGCCUCCGGUGAGGUGGUGCAAGAUGGACGGUGUUUCGGCUUUGCUCUCUUAUUCUAAUCUUUGCUUUCACGUUGUCAAUGGUGUCGGAGCUUGCGACUUCCAAAGUAAAAGUAUUUCCGGUAAGGGUUUUGACGAAGAUCUGCAUCUUGAGACUUUGAGAGAGACGUUCUAAAGCCGCAAAAGAGGGCAAAGAGGGUUUUUCUGAUGGCUUUGAAUAUAUGGAGUCAAUGAAGGAGAGACCAUGGAGAUGGCAGAUGUGGAGACGGGCUCUGGGGAAUGAAGGGUGGAUUAGAUUAAUAUGAGGUGAGUAUCAGGGUUCAAAGUAUCGGACGAGUCGUAUCCGCCUCGACACCUGCCACGACGAGACCAGAUACGGUAUAAUACACGAACUCGACUGGGAAUCAGUUAGACUCGACUGACUUAUUUGAGUUUCUGAGUUAACUCGGUUAGAUUAUAGAGAAUUUUCAAAAUUUUCAUAAAAUUAAAAAAAUAAAUUAAUCAGAGAUUGCCCUUCCAAAAGCAAACACCUAUUCUGAAAUUUUAAACCAUCAAUGAGAAGAUCAAAGAAGAUGAAGAAGAAAAAACCUUAACCGAAGAAACCACCAAAGGAUGAGGGCAUGAUUUAGGAUUUACUUACUUGAUUUUCCUCAAAAUCGAGCAUUACCAGAGGGUGGAGCUUUGGUGUCGACAGUGGUGACUUGUGAAGUGGACUGAAUAUUUCAUUAGCGACGUGGACAAGACAACCCCUCACAAUCAGAUUGCUCCUCCUCCCAUGUUAGGAAUGGUUACAAAUUUGCGAUUGCAAGUGGUGUUGUCUGUUGUGGGUCUUGACAGCAUGGUGGCGUGCGAGGGUGGGAGAUUGGGAGCUUUGUUGUGGGUCUUGACAACAAUGGUGGCGAGGACGGGAGAUUGGGGGCUUAAAUUAAUAAAGUAAAAAAAGUGGCUUUUAUAUGGAUUUACAUGGAGAAUUAAGGCCAAUUUACAUGGAAAAUACCUUUCAUAUAAACACUUUAAUAUGAUUUAAUAAUAACUAAUUAGGAAAAUUAAGUACCUAUGAAAGGUAUAUAUGAGGUUUAAUGAUAAAUUAAAAUAUUUAUAUGGCAAAGUGAUAAUUAAAUCCUCAAUUUUUAAUAUUAUCAUAAAUAACUUUGAGCUAAAUGUGAAAAAAAAAUUGUUUUAUUAAAAUUUUCAGCUUAUUUAAUUAUAACUAUUUUAUUUUUUAAUUUAUAUAAUAUUUUUAUAAUUUUUUGAAAAUUUUAAUUAUCUUAUUUUACGUAUCACUCGAUACCAAACCGAGACACCGAUACCAAUAUGCCUUGUGACCCUCCGAGUCAAUGACCGAUACUGCGACUUUGAACCAUGGUGAGUAUGGCGUGGUUACGGUGGUUGUGAUGUAUGGAGAUUUAGAGAGAGGAAUGGGUACGAGGGACUCGGUGGGUGCUAAAGUGAAAGGAUGAUGGUGGCUAUGUGCAUGGGCCUCCAUGCAGGUGGAGAAUAAUGCAAAUGGGAUGAAGGCGGGUGUGAUGGGUGGUGGGAAUGGAUAGUAUGUAGGGUGAAUGAUGACGGGUUUUGAGGAUGGGCUCGGUUAUGUGGGGGGUGAGGAACUAUUGAGUGCAUGGUUCAAAGUUGCGGUAUCGGUCAUUGACUCGGAGGAUCCCGAGGCAUAUCGGUCUCGGUGUAUCGGUUUGGUAUCGGACGAUACGUAAAAUAAGCUAAUUAGAAAAUUUAAAAAAUUAUAAAAAUAUUAUAUAAAUCAUCAGAAAAAUAUAUACAAUUAAAUAAACUCAAAAAAUUAAUAAAAUAAAAUUGUAUUACAUUUAACAUUAUUUAAAUAGUUAUAAAAGUAUUUGCUCAAAGUUAUUUAUAAUAAUGCUAAUAAAAAUAAAUAUAUCGGUCUCGAAAUCAACUUAAAGUCAACUAUAAUCAAUAUGAUCUUUAGAGGUAAGAUCUAUAGACGGGGGUGCAUAAAUAAUUUUUUUUUUAUCAAUUUAGACUAAUACAUCAACAUAAUUAUUAUUUUAAGCAAUUACUUAAAUUAUUAACCUCCUUCCGAGGUAAUAUUAAUACAUUAUUCUUAUAUGAUUCUUUAAACAAAUUUUAAUUUAAUUUUUUUAUAUAUAAUUAAUUUUAAUUAUAUUUGAUUUUUUUUUAUAUAUAUUUUUAUAAAAAAUCAUGCAUGAAAAUUUUAUUUUUCUUAAUAUAUUUUUGAAGAAAUCAUUUUUUUUCCAUAAGCUUAAAACACCAAAUUUUUAUUUUUUUAUUUUUUUAUAUAGAAAUACAUGGACCAUAUGAAUUGAACUUGGGCUGGCCUAAUCUGGUGGGCUGAACCCGUAAAAAUAUGUCAUGGUGCUGAGCCACAUAGGAUCAAAGACCUAUCUUCUCCUAUCUUCCCUCCACUGAAAGCAGAGAGUGCGAUCUGCAGAGAGUGAAACCGCCAUGGCCAUCUCUCUCUUCUCCUAGCUUGCCCUCCACCGUGGACGCUCACGACGUUGGUUCUGCCGGUGGUGCCAUCAAAUCCUAUUUUCUUCACUGCACAAAGCUCUUCUCUGCUCCCAAACUCGGAAUGAGGGUUGUUUAGCUGGUGUUCAGUCACCGCUGCGGCACCAGCAGCGCACCAAAGAUGAAAAAUCUUCACUCCUGAUUUAUCUAAAAAUGUUGAUUCUUGUUGUGAUGGGUUUCAGAAUCUGUUGAUUUUUUUUUUUUUUUUCCGAGUCCACCGAGUUAACUCGGAAUAUUGGUCGAGUCAUCCAAGUCCAACCGAUUCAAAGCCGAGUUUAGGUAUAAAAUGUAUCUGGUAUCGGACUCCUCGCGGUCGGCGUCGAGGCGGAUAUUACUCGGCCGAUAUUUUGAACCCUGAUUGAGUGCAGAUGAAGGUGAGACUUUUUGGUGGCGAUGCUGAGAACGAAACUUUCAAGAGGAACAACAAGAAAAGAGAACCAAGAACGGGAGUGAGAUGAACCCAUACAUGCCUCAUUUCUUAUAUCAACCAAUCAACUCGAGUGGCCAAAACGAAUUUCAAAGGGGUUUCAAAAAGUAAAAAACAAGACAUGAAUGGCAGUGCCACAUACAAAAACUCAAAACAAAGUUCGAAAAACAGGUUGGAACUCAAGCAUAGUGCAGGUGCAAGUGAGCUCAGAUUCCAUAAAAAUACAUGAAUCCCCAACACGUACACUCAGGCAUCAGAAUGAAAAUCUCCUCAUGCACAGAAAACAUCCUAAAAUGGUAUAAAAAAAUAAAGGAAUCCAGUUUGUAGAGUCUAUACCUGUGUUACCUGUGUUAUUCCCUUUCCCAAAAUCUCCAGCUAUCUUCCAAACGUCCCCCCUUGCUCCCCUUUUCAUAUGUUCCCCCCUCCUCUCCAGCAAAAAAGAAGUCUCCUCUAAUAUCUCUCAAAACCCCUGUUUUUGUCUCCCCCCGCAAGCCACACUACUCGCUCCAUGCUCAGGGAAGAUGUCAUCCUCAACCACCACCAUGGCCAGCCAUGCCAUUUGCCACACGUCCACGCAGCUAGUUUUCCUCUAGAAAGAGGUCCCCCCACUAAAAAAAAAGAUCGAAAUAUUCAACCAUCCCUAGGUCUCAAAACAAAAGAAAGGUCCCCCCUUUAAAGAGUCUACACAAUUACAUUUACAAAAUAAAUUUAAUAUGUAUAUUCUUUCUUAUUUUAUCAUUUUGAGUUAUUUUUAUUCGCUCAUAUUUUUAUUAAAAUAUCCACCGAUAUUUCUCUCAUAUUUUCAAUAUAUUCAUAAAAUCCAAGUAUUCACCUAUAUUUCAAACUUUGGUUCUAAUUAUUUCACAUACAGAAUCUCAAAAAAAAAAAAAAGAAUUCUUACAAAUAUAAAAUCAUGAUUUAAUUGAUUACAAAUUAAAUUUACUAAUUUUGAAAAACCAGUUUCCAAAUCUAAAAAAAUAAAAAUAAAUUAUAAGUGCAAAAAUCAUGGCUUAGUUGACUACAUGGUAAAUUUAUUAAUUUUGUAAAACAAGAACAUAGUUUUUCACCGGUCUCAUAGGCUACAUUAUUUUUAGGGACUUACUCUAACCAACAUCCACACUAUACUUUUACGGCCUUGGCAUAACAUGCUAUAUAUACUUUAGUGGACAACCUUAACUCCUUGGUGAACGGAUGCCAUUAACCAUCAACUCUACUAAAAAAUAUGACAAAAUCUAAGAGUUUGGAGAUAUUUUAAUGAAGGAUUGAUAAUUUAGAACUAUAAGCAUGUAAUGGUUUUGAUGCAAUAACCAUAUUUAUAAAGAAAAAUUCUUAAUGGUUGAAUUGUACUAUCAAACUUUUCAAAACAUAGGUAAGUAUAAUUAUAAAGCAAAAAAAAAAAAAAAAAUGGAAAGUAUAAUUAUAAUUUUUUUUAUAUAUUAAAUAACACAUAUAUUGGUAUUAUAUAUAUAUAUAUAAAUUUAUUUUUUAAAACAAAAUAUUUUAUUUUAUAAAAUAAAUAAUAUUAUAAAUAAAAUAGAUGAGAAAAAAAUAAUAUUAAUUAUACCUCAACUUAUAUCUCAACUUGUGAUCAACAUAUAUUUUAGAAAGGAUAUUAAAAAAGAGCACAAAUAAUAUAUUUCAUCACUUAUUUUAUCUCAUCUUCGUUUGUUUCUUAUUAUAUCUUAUGUUAUCUGGUGCCAAUUCAAAACUUUUUCCAAAAACCACUUGGAGAUCAUAAAAUCCUAUUAGAAGUAGAAAGAGUAAGGUUGCAUCCUUGAAAUAUAGAGUCUGUUUGAUAAUGAUUUUAAGAAACGUCUUUAAUUUUUUUAACACUUGAAAUUUUUUGUCAUUUAAGUAUUAAAAAUUUUAGAAACAUUUUCUAAAAUCCUUCUCGAACGCACUCUUACAUGAGUAUCUCCGUUCUAAUUUUGAAAAGAUAACAUAUGAGAUGAGAUGUCAACAUUGAAUUAACAUCGAAACGGUGAAAACACCAAAGGCUUCCAAAUUGAUUUUGAGCCACAAUCAUAUAUGCAUUCACACUUGUUGUCAAGGUAUCAACAUUUCUGCUAGGAAUGGAUACACAGGCAUGCAGGAGUAUUCAUAAUCAUACCUUUGAUACACCAAAUGUACUCUUCUGUUUGCUCUCCAAGAAAAUGUUCCUUGUUCAAGGAGAAAGUGACCCUUUUGUUUAUAAAAUAGGAUUGGCAUCAGCAGAGCUUUGAACUGGUCAGCUGGAUGAGUACAUCAUCUCACUCAUAAGUUAAUACUUAUUCAAGUUGUACAUGAGGAAUUUAAUUUUCAUAUACAUGAUCAUACGCAAACGUCUCUUGAAUAUUUGUAAUUUGAAAAUUUAAGUAGUUCUUCUAAAUGAUUUUUUUUUUCUUUUGACUUUUGCCUUGCUCCUUCCAAGUCCAUAUUGAAGAGAUCAUCAUCUUAGCCAAGGUUUGACAGCAUGCCCAAGAGUGGUUUUGUUCUUGGAGCUGAGAAAAAACCAUUAUUGUUCUUCUUACUUAGAAUAUAUAUAGCUCUGAAUUAAUUUUCCUUUUAGCUCUUACCAAUUCUGAAUUUGGGUUUGGCUAAAAAGUUUGAAUCAAAUUGAGGGUGGAUGAUAUUCCUCAGUGAACAGGAUUGAUUGUUUUGAAUUUGUAGUUCAAAGUUCACUGCUCAUUCAAAAAUAGCUUCAUUACUCGAUUUUCUCUUAAGUGCACAUCACCUUCAAAAUUUUAGACAUUCUCUCUGUUUCUUUGAAGCUUUACCAUUACAUCACUGUAUUAAAAAAAAAAAUGCUAUAUAUGAAAUGUCUGAUACUAUAUAUAGGCUUUCAAGCAGCAAACUCUUCAAACAGAAAGUCAAUUUUUCUCACAAGUCCUCCACCUGAGAGAAAAGAAAGAGAAAAAUGGAAUCAGAGAGAAUUUUGCUUGCAUUUUCUGUGUGUAUCUGAAUUUUUGAGCUGCACCAGCACUAAAAUUCAUUAACCCAGGAGUCUUUAUUGUGGAAUAGGUUGGUGGCAAUGGAGAGUGGUGACAUUAGCGGAGUAGUUAGUGGACGUAUAAUUGUUUCUAACAUACUGAGGAACAGCUCCGUGGAAGUUUUCUCGAGAUCUUCUCGGGAAGAAGAUGAUGAAGAAGCCCUGAAAUGGGAAACAGGAUCAAAGUUGUAAUUGUCAAAGUCGUAAAAAAUGCUUCAGGCCCACACUGCCACAACCAUUGUGACAAUUGAGGUUUGCCAAUGACUGUUAGUUUGGAAGAAGUGGGGAUGACCACGACUAGGAAAAUGUUGAAUUCCACGUAAUCCAAUUUUAAAGUUAACUUCAAGUUUUAAAAUAUCUGAAUAUAUACUUCAUAUAUCCUCAAUAUAUCAAAUAUCUAUGAAUCUCGACAAUAUCCAUCAAUAUUCGAAAAUUCGGAUAUUUGACCACUAUUUCAUAGAUCGUUUCAACCUAUAUUUCACUUAUAUUUUUGGAUGUUUUAUCAAUAUUUUAUUUUUUCUAUUCUUUGAAUUGUUACAUUUGAUUUAAUUUAUUAUCAAAAAUAUAAACACAUAAUUUUUCCUAAUAUGUUUUUUUAUAUAAUCUAUAUAUUUAUUAAAUAUAAAAAAUAUAAAUGUUAAAAAAAUUAUACAUAUAUUAUUAUUUAAUUGAUAUCAUAGAAUACAUUUAAAUUAAAACGGAUCAUAAUUUUAAUAUUAAAUAUUUUUUAAAAUUAGACAUAUUAUCCAAAUAUUAUUAUAAAAUAAUAUAUAAUACAACUUAAUAAUAAAUGUAUAUUUAUAAAAUUUAUAUUUUUAUUGAUGUAAAUUAUAUAUAUAUAUAUAUAUCAUUUUUUUUAAAAAAAAACCUAUAAAAUGUUUAUUUUUACUUCUUAUAUAAUUUUUUUUUAGAAUUUUUCUUAAUAUUUUCAUAAUUUUCAUUAAUUUUAAACCAAUAUUUUGUGUCAAAAUAUUUGUCAAUAUAUCCGUUAUUACCAAUAUUUUCAUCAUUGAUUAACUCAAUAUCCCACUAUAGAGUCAAUUACAUUCUAGUAUCUUGUAAUAUUAAAACAAAAAGCAAGAACUCGAAUCCAUGACCUACUAGUCAUUUUAUUUGGAUUUCCUAUGAACCGGUAUUCAUAUUAUGAGGUUAAUGUUAUCAACUUCUCAAGAUUACCUUUAUAAUCUUUAAGUCUUGAAUUCUUCUAUUAUGUGAUUAUUUGACAUACUCUAGCUCAUAAAGAGUGCGUGUCAAAUUUUAAUUAAGGAAUUAAUUAUGGCUAUAAAUUUCCUAAUCACAUGUCCUUAUGAUUACCUAAUGGACCGUGUUGUCUUAAAUUCAUAAGAUAUCAUGGUUGUCUAUCUUAAGUACAUCCAUUAUCAUCGGCCUCCAUCAACAGUAACCCAAUCUAUCAACAACUUGCAUGACUUUUGAUUUUAAUUUACAUAUGACUUCUAAUUAUCAAAAUUAAUUUUACAUUAACUUCUAACUACAUAAUAAUUUGUACAUAACAUCUAACAAUUGUGGUAUUAAAUGAGAGUUGAACAAAGUUUUUGGCAUGACCAAAUAAGAUAAUUUGUUUAUAACUUCUAGCUAUAUAUAACAAAAUAAAUGCUAAUAGAAAUAUGUGACAUAUAUUCUAUAGUAAUAAUCUCAAAGUAAGGAUCAAAAAAUUAUCUCAAAGCAAAUCAUGUCAAUAACGUGUUAUAAAACUAAAAACAAACUAAAAAUCUUGUAUAAAGGAGAGUUUAAGAUGACUAGAGAAAGAAUUUCUUUUGAUAUAUAACUAUUUGAAUAUCAAAAUGCCUAUUUAAAGGUUUACAAAAUCACAUUAAUUGAUACUUCCUAAUUCAAUUUUAAAUAAAUGGAACAAUAAAUAUAAUAAUUGUGACAAAUGGAUGAGAGGGGUAGGUGUUAACCAAACUACGCCCACACCCAAGUAUAAAAUAAAGAAGAAAAAAAAUUAACGUGGUUCAACGAUCAAUGUGAUCUCUAGCGAAGCGCAACUCCCGCAAGCUAAUCAGGUGGCUUGACCCCAGACAUUCUGAGCAAAGCACAAUAAAAUUGACUUAGACUUCAUAAUCCAAUAAUAGGGUGGUGAAGGUGAUGGUCAUCCAUCGUAACAUUGAAUGCAUUAAUAAAUACAUUUACAAUGGAUAUUAUAUUUUAUGGACGAAAACUACAUUACCCAACUUCAUGUGAUAUGGGCCAAACAAUAACCAAUUAGGAAAAUUCAACAUUAUGAAUUCUUUGUUUCAUUUUUCAUUUUUGGUAGCCAAGCAAGCAAAACUUAGAUUCAUACCUUAUCCAAACAUGUUAUGGUAAAACCCAAAAAAGUAAAUGAUAAACACUACUAAGUGAAGCUUAAUGAUAAAUUAUUUCUUUCUUUAGCUUCUUUCCCAAGUAAAUAGACAGGAAAAUGAGGGGAAAGACAAGUUGAGUGAAGCUGAACUGGCACAAAAGUAGGCCGACGUCUUCUUCAGUAUAUUGAAUUAGAGUAACACAAAUCAAACAAGGGUUUGGUAUAUUAUUUGGCCUAUCGAAACUGUUAUAUGGCAACAUCAAAUUGUCAAAACAAACUCCUUUCCUAAGAAAUUGAAUUGAGCUGUGGCUGCCGUCAGCUGAAAUCUCUCUUAACCUAUGUAUUCUUUUGUUUGCUCUCCAAGAAAAUGCAUCUUGUUCAAGGAGAAAGUGACAUUUUUGUUUAUAGAAUAGGAUUGGCAUCAGCAGAGCUUUGAACUGGUCAGAUAGAUGAGGAAUUUGUCUUGCUCCUUCCAGGUCCAUAUUGAAGAGAUCAUCAGCUUAGCCAAGGUUUGACUUCAUUCCCAAGUGUGGUUUUAUUCUUGGAGUUGGGAAAAAAACCACCAUUGUUCUUCUUACUUAGAAUAUAUAUAUAUAGCUGUGGAUCCCGCAUUUCGGCUCAAUGCGUUUCCCACUCGAUGGCGAGUUCGAUUUUUAUUUGAAAAAUUGAUUUUUAAUUUGAUUAAGAAAAAUGACUUGGAGUCGCCACUUAUUUUUAUUUUAUUUUUUAAAGGGUAAACAAAAUAAGAAAGAAAAACCCUAAGUGUGACUCCUUGUUUUGGGAAAGGUGGUCUGUGAAAAACCGGAUCGAGUUCGGGGGUCAGGUUACUUAUCGGGAAGGUACAGUAAAGACCGUAGCACCCCUCUAAGCCCCUAAAGUCGGGUCUCUACUAAUAAAAUGAAGCAAUCAUGACAAUUGAUGAGGAAAACAAUGAAUACCCGGAACUAUCAUGCACAUAGGAGAAUCAAAACAUGUAUAUGGAAAUACCGGAAUGGGAAUAGAUACGUACUUGGGUGACGAGCCACAAUGCGCUUAUCAAAAAGUGAGGUUAGUACACAAUUAACGAAUACAAAUUAUAGCUCAUGCAUAUCGGAGUGCAAAAUGAAAAUCAAGCAAAAUAUAUUAAGCACAACAGUUGACAGUCAAUAAGGAUCAAACAUGGGGCCCUCACCAAAGCCCAAUUUAUUGUUCAUGAACUAGUCCCCCAAAUUUCGUGUUUUAGAAUUAUGAAGAAUUCAUUAUUACUUAUGUAAAAUCAAAGAUAUCCGAAGAUUAUUUAGGAACCGAAAUAGAAUUAAAAUUAUUCGAGUGAAGAUUGGAUUCUUGGAAUUUGUUUGAAUAUCGGGAUUUUGGGAAUUAAAUUUAAGAGUUGGAAUUUUGAAUAUUAAAUUAGAANNNNNNNNNNNNNNNNNNNNNNNNNNNNNNNNNNNNNNNNNNNNNNNNNNNNNNNNNNNNNNNNNNNNNNNNNNNNNNNNNNNNNNNNNNNNNNNNNNNNNNNNNNNNNNNNNNNNNNNNNNNNNNNNNNNNNNNNNNNNNNNNNNNNNNNNNNNNNNNNNNNNGUGGUGCAAUUCGGCAUAUGAGCACUUCCUAAUGUUCGGUCACCUUUGGUGAGGACAUUCAGAGAAGCUCCAAUACCAACAUCGACCAUAACAUCAGUGGGAGUUGCAAGCAAUGACACCAUACUAACAAUCCGAAUAUUCUUCAAAUAUGAUUUUCAUUUCAUGGAUUACGGAAGACACAAAAUCCACAGGAAGGUCAUAAAGAACCUGCUCAAAGUUAUUGACGCCUUCUCAGUGCCUUUAACUUGUUGGCUUUCAACUUGUCCAAUAGGAAACGUGGCAAUAUCCCAAAGAUUCUGACGUAGAGACCCCCCUCAAAGAACACCCCAAUCCAGACAGCCAAACUCAAACGAGAUGCCCAACACUCAAAGAAAGAAAGAGAACAGAAACAGAGGAAAAUAUAAUGAAGAAACAGAGCAUGCGGGAGAGAGGAUGAUGCCUUUAACUCCAAAACCUAUUUUAAUGAAGAUUAAGAAGCUUUCAAAAGAAGCUAGUGGGGGAUCCUAACACAUGAAUAAGUAGCGCAACCAUCAUACGGUACACUUAGAAGAAGAACAGAGACUCGACAAGUAACCAUGAAAAGUGAGUUUAACAUCUUAGAUGAUCAAAGCAGGUAUUCGGAUAUCAGCAAAAAAAUAUAGCAAAACGGUAAUAAUGGAGAGACUUAAGACGUAAGAAUGCUAAACCUGCGUGAAUCCUCUCAAGCAGAAAUUUUUUUCCCGAGUAAAAGAGUCCUUCCCCCUUUUUCAUCUGUCUCCCCCCUCCUCCAGCUCUCACUCUCCUUUUUCUUCCUUCUGUUUUGUGUCUUCCUCAGCAAGCCACUGCUUGCUUCCUGCCACACGUCCCAUCUGGUCGCUACCCACCAUCCCCUCCAGCCGCCUGAGAGCAGCCCACUUGAGAGCCGUCCCAAAAACAGCAAAGAAAUAAUAAAAGAAAAGCCCCCCCGCCCCCCUCCUAGCUCCUCGGGGGGUCUACAAUAGCUCUGAAUUUUCCUUUUAGCUCUUACUAAUUUGGGUUUGGCUAAGAAGUUUGAAUCAAAUUGAGGGUAAAUGAUAUUCCAGGAUGAACUGAAUUGAUUGUUUCGGAUUUGUAGUUCAAAGUCCACUGCCCAUUCAAAAAUAGCUUCAGUACUCAAUUUUCUCUUCUGUACACAUCACCUUCAAUAUUUUAGACAUUCUCUGUGUUUCUUUCAUCACUGGAUUAUAAAAAAAGAAAACUAUUUAUGAAAUGUUUACUACUAUAUAUAUAGGCCUAUCUAGCUGCAAACUCCUCAAACACAGAGUUAAUUUUUCUCACAAGUCCUCCACCUGAGGAACAGAAAGGAAAAAUGGAAUCAGAGAGAAUUUUUGAGAGAGAAGAUAUUCAUAUUUGAGUGAUUUGAGUUCCAUCAGCACUAGAAUUCAUUAACCAAACAGUCUGUACUGUGGAAUAGGUUGGUGCCAAUGGAGAGUAGUGAUAUUAGCAGAGUAACUAGUGUACGUAUUACUGCUUCUAACAUACUCAGGAACAGCUCUGUGGAAGUUUUCUCGAGGUCGUCUCGGGAAGAAGAUGAUGAAGAAGCCCUGAAAUGGGCUGCUCUCGAGAAACUGCCUACAUUCCUUCGUAUACAGAGAGGCAUCCUCACUGAAGAAAAGGGCCAGGCAAGGGAAAUUGAUAUAAAGAGCCUUGGGUUGCGAGAGAGGAAGAAUCUGAUCCAGCGGCUUGUGAAGAUCGAUGGGCAUGAUAACGAGAAGUUCUUGUUGAAGCUCAAGGAGCGGAUUGAUCGGUAAUUUUCAUCAAAAUAAUAAUUUUCAAAUCUUUUUAGUUCUCAGAUAAUCAUAUUGUUUCAAAUUCUUGAGUAUUGUGUCUAUGUUGUCAGUCCCCUGUUUUAGAGUUGUAUGAAUUAGAAAAUUUUAAUCCUUGGUAUGCUUGUUUUUGCUUUUUCAAACAGAGUUGGACUUGAUAGUCCAACGGUUGAAGUUCGAUUCGAGCACUUAACAGUUGAUGCAGAGGCUUAUGUUGGAAGCAGAGCAUUACCCACUAUAUUCAACAUCUCAGCAAAUAUUUUGGAGGUAGUUCAUCUUCCAGACCAUACAGAUUUAUGUAUAUAAUUCUUAUGCUUUCCACCUUUUUAUUUGCAAAUCAGACUCACCAAAGAUAAUUUCUUUCUGAAGGGGUUCUUGAAUUAUCUUCACAUUCUUCCUAGUAGAAAGAAACCCUUCUCAAUCCUCCAUGAUGUUAGUGGAAUCAUCAAACCUCGCAGGUGAGAAUCAUGGAAUAAAUCAGAAUUGUUCAUUAUUGACACUCCAACCAGUACAUUUUUCAUAGGUUUGAUCCCGUUUUCGUAGAAUGGCUUUGCUUCUAGGACCUCCAAGCUCUGGGAAGACUACACUGUUAUUAGCUUUGGCAGGAAGACUUGGUUCAGAUCUGAAAGUAAGAAGAACUCAUUCCAAUCUCUACUAAUUUUUGGGAACUUUUUCAGUCUGUGACAAGAUAUUGAUACUUAUGAGAUUUCAGGUUUCGGGCCGAGUUACCUACAAUGGCCAUGGAAUGGAUGAGUUUGUUCCACAGAGGACUUCAGCUUAUACAAGUCAAUAUGAUCUUCAUGCUGGAGAAAUGACAGUGCGAGAAACAUUGGAUUUUUCAGCUAGAUGUCAGGGGGGUGGAGGCCUUUCCGGUCAGUUUCAAUGCCAUGAAGUUUUACUUAUUGUGCUCGGUUGAAAGAAUUCCAGUGGAUGGGAAUGAAUUUGUUUCAAAUUUGGAUAUUUUGCAGAUAUGUUAGCAGAAUUAUCAAGAAGAGAGAAGGCUGCAAACAUUAAGCCUGAUCCUGAUAUUGAUAUCUACAUGAAGGUGCUGAGAAAACACAGCUAGAACUAAAAUUUUAAUCAUCAUCAUAUUUUCUUUUUGAUAUUUUCUUGCCUGCAAUCCUUAAUAAUUGGUGUAGGGAAUAUGUUUUCAUCCAUAGGCUGCAGCACUAGAAGGGCAGAAGACCAGUGUAGUCACAGAAUAUAUGCUCAAGGUACCAAUUUUGAAUACAUGCAGAAUACUGAAAAUGUUUUCAAAGAUGACAAAAAUCUGAAAAUUUUCUGUUUCUGUUUUGAAAACUUAGAAGAUUCUAGGACUUGAAAUCUGCGCUGAUACAUUGGUGGGGGAUGUAAUGAAACGAGGCAUAUCCGGCGGACAAAAAAAGCGACUCACAACAGGUGAUAAGCAUAAAACAUCUUAUUUAUUCCAACGGAAGUGACACACCAUAUCUUUGCGUCUUUUCAACUGAAUCCCAAAUUUUUCUAGACAUUUUACCUAUGAUCAGUGAAUUUGAAUCUGAAAAAAAGCUAAAACAAGGAGCUACAUUUGCUUGAUACAGGGGAGAUACUGGUUGGACCAGCCAGAGCACUUUUCAUGGAUGAGAUAUCAACUGGUUUGGAUAGUUCAACAGCUUUUCAGAUUGUAAAUUCACUCAGGCAGUCCAUCCAUAUGCUUAAUGGAACUGCUCUUAUCUCUCUCCUCCAACCAGCACCAGAAACAUACAACCUAUUUGAUGAUAUAAUUCUCCUCUCUGAUGGAAAAAUUGUGUAUCAAGGUCCCUGUGAAAAUGUGCUCGAGUUCUUUGGAUACAUGGGCUUCAAAUGUCCAGAAAGGAAAGGAGUGGCUGACUUCUUACAAGAAGUAAUUCUAAUACUCGAAUCACAUUUUCUUCUCAUAUCCAUUCCUGAUCUUUAAAGCUCAAUGGGCUUACCAUUUUCUUUUGGCAUUGCACCAUAGGUGACAUCAAGGAAGGAUCAAGAGCAGUACUGGGCGCGUAAGGACGAGCCUUAUAGCUAUGUUACUGUCAAGGAAUUCGCUGAAGCCUUUCAAUCAUUUCAUAUUGGUCAGAAACUAGGUGAUGAGCUUGCUGUGCCAUUCGAUAAGACCAAAGGCCACCCUGCUGCUUUGACAACCAAAAAAUAUGGUAUUAGCAAGAGAGAACUGUUGAGAGCUUGCACAUCCAGGGAAUUCUUGAUUAUGAAGAGGAAUUCAUUUGUCUAUAUUUUCAAAAUGAUCCAAGUAAGUAGAAUUGAUGCACUAAACUUUCAGUUCUGACGAUUUAAAUGAACUGUGAAAAUUCAGAAUCAUUUUGAGAACUGUAAUUCUUUUUUUUCUUCGUUUUCAGCUUAUUAUUGUGGCUUUUAUAAGCAUGACAUUGUUUCUCCGAACUGAGAUGUCGCGAAAUACAGUAGAAGAUGGGGGGAUUUUCAUGGGUGCCCUUUUCUUUGCAGUCUUGAGGAUUAUGUUCAAUGGAUUAACAGAGCUUCCCAUGACCAUCUUCCAACUUCCAGUCUUUUACAAGCAAAGGGGCCUUCUCUUCUUUCCCUCCUGGGCAUACUCUCUAUCUAAAUGGAUCCUCAAGAUGCCAAUCGCAUUUGCUGAAGUUGGCGCCUGGGUGAUCAUGACUUAUUAUGUCAUAGGCUUUGAUCCAAACAUAGAAAGGUAACCCCCCAAAAUGGGAAAUCAGAAUCCAACUUGUUUAAAAAAUUUAGUAUCCUGACUUAUUCAAAGUUCUAAAUGGCAGGUUCUUCAAGCAAUAUUUGCUACUGCUAUGCAUUCACCAGAUGGCUUCAGGACUUCUUCGGUUGAUGGCGGCAUUGGGAAGGAACAUCAUAGUUGCAAGCACAUUUGGCUCAUUUCCAUUACUUCUAGUAGUGGUUUUGGGUGGAUUUGUCUUGUCAAAAGGUGUAAACAGAAGGAAAAUUGGAGUUCAAUUCAAAUAACAGUUUUUUUUUUCUUUCUUCAUGGCAAUAUAACUUGUACUCACAUGUGAAAAUCAAUUUUCUUCCCUCUCAGAUGAUGUGAAGCCAUGGUGGGAAUGGGGUUAUUGGGUCUCACCUUUGAUGUAUGGGCAGAAUGCCAUAAGUGUGAAUGAAUUCCUUGGGAACAGCUGGAGACAUGUAAGCUUCAAUUUCAUGAUGAACAAGGGAAAAUUGUUCUGAUCAUUAUCUGCUAAAACUUCAUUCAAUUUUUUAUGUUACAGGUUCCGGCUAACUCAACAGAAUCAUUAGGAGUACUAGUCUUGAAAGCUCGUGGGGCUUUCACAGAACCACACUGGUAUUGGCAUUUGGGAAGCCUCAACCAAUUCUAUCCAAGGAGACCUUAACUGAGAAACAAGCUAACAGAACAGGAGAGUUGAAUGAGCUGUCACCAGGUGGGAAGAGCUCUGCUGGUUGGUCAUUAACGUCACAUUUAUAUGUUUAUGCCCAUAACAUAUACAAUUUGAUAAACAAUACAGAAACGGGAGCAAGAAUUCAAAGUGGAUCAUCCAGGUCAUUGUCUGCAAGAGUGUUAUAUUUAUAUAAAUAUAUAUAUAUAUUGUUGGUUAAAAAAUAAAGUGUAAGAAGAGUUACACUUUUGAAAAUAACUUUUGGAAAAUUAAGUGUAAGAGAGUUACACAUUUGAGAUUAAAUCAUGUUUAAUGUGUGAAUUAAACAUAUGAUUUAAUUUUGAAUGUUACAAAGAUGAAGAGGUUGAGGAAGACAAUGAGUCUUCUCAUCUUUGUAACUUUAUAAACUUAAGAGGUUAAGUGUAAGAGAGUUACACAUUUGAGAUUAAAUCAUGUUUAAUGUGUGAAUUAAACAUAUGAUUUAAUUUUGAAUGUUACAAAGAUGAAGAGAUUGAGGAAGACAAUGAGUUUUUUCUCAUCCUUGUAACCUUUUUUCAACCCUAAGAGUGAUAUAUAUAUGACUUUUCUUCUUUUUGAAAUCUCAUGCAGAAAAGUGAAAAGGCUUGAUCAAUCCCAAGACUAUUUCCAUUUAGUUCCCAAAAGAUUUCUAGAGGUGGGAGGAAAUAGAGUCUUUGGACAAAGUUCCAAGAACUUGUUUGAGCCUUUCUUGUGUUAUUCUUCUUCUUGUUCUUAUUUUGUAUCUAAGAGAGUUUUAUUGUAUCAAAGUGAGUGUGUGAGAGUGUUUCCUUUCUCCAUUGUAUCCAAAUUUUUUCAACAAUCAAAGACUCUAUUCUCAAUGGAGGGAGAGACUAUCAAGAUUAUGAACCAAGACCUUGUGAGGUUGGAUCGUUUUGAUGGUUCCAACUUCACUAGGUGGCAAGACAAGGUGAGAUUCCUUCUCACAGCACUCAAGAUUUUCUACAUCCUUGAUCCUACCUUGGCACCAUUACCAGAACCAAAGGAAAAUGACACACCUCAAGUGGUGGCGGCAAGGAAGAAGAGGGAGGAGGAUGAGCUCAUAUGUAGGGGUCAUAUUUUGAACGCCUUAUCUGAUAGGCUAUAUGAUCUCUACACCAACACCAAUUCCGCGAGGGAGAUUUGGGAGGCUCUUGAAAACAAGUACAAAGCCGAGGAAGAAGGUACCAAAAAGUUUCUUAUUUCUCAAUACAUAGAUUUCAAAUUUUUUGAUGAAAAGCCUCUCUUACCACAAAUUCAUGAGUUGCAAGUAAUUGUGAAUAAGUUGAAAGUUCUCAAAAUUGAACUUCCGGAGGCCUUCCAAGUUGGUGCUAUUGUGGCUAAAUUACCAUCAAGUUGGAAAGGUUACCGGAAGAGGAUUCUCCACAAGAGUGAAGAUUACUCCUUGGAAGAGAUUCAAAAACAUCUUCGCAUUAAGGAAGAAUCGAGAUCAAGAGACAAAAUGGUGGAAGAGUCCAAUGGUGGGACUAACAAAGCCAAUGCGAUUUCAAAGGCCAAUCAUACUAGAGGUAAAAAUAACAACAACAAAAAGAAUUCCGGAAAUUAUAUGAGCCCCAAGAAAAAUCAAGAGCAAUUUAAGGGCAAGAAAGGUCCUUGUUUUGUAUGUGGAAAACCCGGGCAUUAUGCUAGGGAGUGUAGGUUCCGAAAGGACCAAAAAGGGGUUGUGGUGAAUGCAAUUGAUGAGGAGAUCAUUGCAACACUAAGCGAUGUGUGCGUUGUCCAAGGAAAGGUGCAAGGAUGGUGGUAUGAUACUUGUGCCACAGUUCAUGUUACCUAUGACAAAUCUCUUUUCAAGACCUUUGAAGAUGCAAAGGGAGAUCAAGAGGUUCAAAUGGGCAAUGAAGGAAAAUCCAAGGUGCUUGGCAAGGGCACUAUUGAAGUUGUUUUUACCUCCGGCAAAAAGGUUACCCUUAAAAAUGUAUUAUAUGUCCCCGAUAUGAAAAAAAAUUUGGUUAGUGGGGAUUUGCUUGGCAAACCGGGUAUCAAAGCGGUGUUUGAAUCCGGUAAGCUAAUUUUAACCAAAUCGGGGAACUUUGUGGGAAAGGGGUAUUCUUGUGAUGGGAUGAUCAAACUUAGUACCAAUGACAAUAUCAAUAAAAUGACGUCUACUUCCGCUUAUAUGUGUGAUUCAAAUUCUUUAAUUUUGUGGCAUAAUAGGCUUGCACAUGUUGGUUUAAGCACUAUUAAAAGGAUUGUGAAAUGUGGUUUGAUUGCUUGUGAUACCAAGAAAUUUGAAAAGUGUGAAAUAUGUAUUAAAUCAAAGAUGAUUAAAAAGCCUUUUCAUAGUGUUGAGAGAUCAUCUAAUUUGCUUGAUUUAAUACAUAGUGAUCUUUGUGAACUUAAUGGCAUGUUAACAAGAGGUAGAAAUAGGUAUUUUCUUACAUUCAUAGAUGAUUGUUCUAGAUUUACCUAUGUGUUUUUGUUGAAAAACAAAAGUGAAACUUUCAAUGCCUUUAAAGUUUACAAAGCCGAAGUUGAAAAUCAACUAGGAAAAAAUAUUAAGGUGCUUAGAAGUGAUAGAGGUGGUGAAUAUUUCUCUAGUGAAUUCAAUUCUUUUUGUGAAGAAUAUGGCAUAAUACAUGAGUGCACCGCACCCUAUACACCUCAACACAAUGGCAUAGCGGAGAGAAAGAAUAGAACAUUUUUGGAAAUGGUGAAUGCUAUGUUAUUGCAUGCUAAAUUGAAUUUCAAUUUGUGAGGUGAAGCUUUGUUGACUGCUUGCUAUAUUUUGAAUAGAAUUCCUAUGAAGAAAAAUGAGAUAUCUUCAUAUGAGUUAUGGAAAGGAAGGAAGCCUAAUAUAGGUUACUUCAAAGUGUGGGGGUGUCUUGCUUAUUGCAAGAAAACGGAUCCAAAUAAAACAAAAUUGGGUCCAAGAGCCAUUAAGUGUGCAUUUGUAGGCUAUGCCUCAAAUAGCAAAGCUUAUAGGCUAUUAGACUUGGAGUCUAAUGUGAUAAUUGAAUCAAGAGAGGUAGAGUUCUUUGAGAAUUUGUUGAGUGAUAGCAAUUCUCAAGUACCUACUAGUGUUGGAGAGUCUCAAGAGGAGACACCUUCAAAGGUUGUUGAGCAACCCAUUGUGCCUCGGAAAAGCCAAAGAGCUAGAAAAGAGAAAGUGUUGGGAUCGGAUGAGAUUGACUCUCAAAGAAUUUCCUUUUACUUAGUAGAAGGAAAUAGAGAAUAUAUUACAAGAAAAAUUCCUAUAGUACUUCAAAUAGAGGAAGAUCACAAAACAUACAAAGAAGCUAUGGCUUCUAGAGAUGUUGCUUUUUGGAAAGAGGCUAUCAAUGAUGAAAUGGAUUCAAUUAUGUCCAACCAAACAUGGGAAUUGGUAGACCUUCCACCAGGAUCUAAACCAAUAGGGUGCAAGUGGGUAUUUCGAAGGAAAUAUCACACCGAUGGCAUGAUUCAAACCUUUAAGGCUAGAUUAGUAGCUAAGGGGUUUAAACAAAGAGAAGGUAUUGAUUAUUUUGAUACCUAUGCGCCGGUGGCUAGAACAACAUCGAUUAGGAUAUUGUUUGCUUUGGCAUCAAUUCAUAAUCUAUUCGUUCAUCAAAUGGAUGUCAAAACGGCAUUCUUGAAUGGGGAUCUCAAUGAGGAGGUCUACAUGGAACAACCGGAAGGUUUUGUUCUACUGGGGAAUGAAAACAAAGUGUGUAAGCUUGUCAAAUCAUUAUAUGGUUUAAAACAAGCUCCCAAACAAUGGCACGAAAAAUUUGAUCAUGCUAUUCUUUCGGAUGGAUUUAGACACAACAAUGUGGACAAGUGCUUAUAUUCUAAGACUUGUGAUGACUAUAUGGUCAUAGUGUGUCUAUAUGUGGAUGACAUGUUAAUCUUGAGUGAGGACAUGAAAGGAAUAAUAGAAACGAAAAGGUUUCCAUCCUCAACCUUCAAGAUGAAAGAUCUUGGAGAAGUUGAUACUAUAUUGGGUAUCAAAGUGAAAAGAAAUAGUGGGGGUUAUGCUUUGAACCAAACCCACUAUAUUGANNNNNNNNNNNNNNNNNNNNNNNNNNNNNNNNNNNNNNNNNNNNNNNNNNNNNNNNNNNNNNNNNNNNNNNNNNNNNNNNNNNNNNNNNNNNNNNNNNNNAAUGGAUUCAAUUAUGUCCAACCAAACAUGGGAAUUGGUAGACCUUCCACCAGGAUCUAAACCAAUAGGGUGCAAGUGGGUAUUUCGAAGGAAAUAUCACACCGAUGGCAUGAUUCAAACCUUUAAGGCUAGAUUAGUAGCUAAGGGGUUUAAACAAAGAGAAGGUAUUGAUUAUUUUGAUACCUAUGCGCCGGUGGCUAGAACAACAUCGAUUAGGAUAUUGUUUGCUUUGGCAUCAAUUCAUAAUCUAUUCGUUCAUCAAAUGGAUGUCAAAACGGCAUUCUUGAAUGGGGAUCUCAAUGAGGAGGUCUACAUGGAACAACCGGAAGGUUUUGUUCUACUGGGGAAUGAAAACAAAGUGUGUAAGCUUGUCAAAUCAUUAUAUGGUUUAAAACAAGCUCCCAAACAAUGGCACGAAAAAUUUGAUCAUGCUAUUCUUUCGGAUGGAUUUAGACACAACAAUGUGGAUAAGUGCUUAUAUUCUAAGACUUGUGAUGACUAUAUGGUCAUAAUAUGUCUAUAUGUGGAUGACAUGUUAAUCUUGAGUGAUGACAUGAGAGGAAUAAUAGAAACGAAAAGGUUUCUAUCCUCAACCUUCAAGAUGAAAGAUCUUGGAGAAGUUGAUACUAUAUUGGGUAUCAAAGUGAAAAGAAAUAGUGGGGGUUAUGCUUUGAACCAAACCCACUAUAUUGAGAAAGUAGUUAGCAAAUUUAGUCAUCUCAAGAUUAAAGAUGCUAAUACUCCAUUUGAUUCAAGUAUAAAACUUGAAAAGAAUGAUGGUAGAUCAGUGGCUCAACUUGAGUAUGCAAGUGCAAUUGGAAGUCUUAUGUAUGCUGCUCAGUGUACUAGGGCUGACAUUUCAUUUUCAGUUAGUAAACUAAGUAGGUUUACUAGCAAUCCAAGCGUGGAACAUUGGAAAGCUAUUGGUAGAGUUCUUGGUUACCUAAAGAAUACCAAAGAACUAAGCCUCCAAUAUUCAAAGUUUCCUGCUAUAAUUGAAGGUUAUUCAGAUGCAAGCUGGAUAUCGAGUGUGGGAGAUAAUUUAUCUACCACAGGUUGGGUGUUUACACUUGGUGGUGGGGCUGUCUCUUGGGGAUCCAAGAAACAGACUUGUAUAUCACACUCAACCAUGGAGGCAGAGUUUAUAGCUCUAGCUGCAACUGGAAAAGAAGCUGAGUGGCUUAGGGAUCUCAUGAUGGACAUCCCUUUUACUGCAAAUAAUGUGUCAACAGUGUCGAUACAUUGUGACAGUCAAGCCACUCUAGCUCGUGCGUACAGUGGAGUGUACAAUGGGAAGUCUAGACAUAUAAGCAUUAGACAUGAGUAUGUAAGACAAUUGAUUCAAAAUGGAAUCAUCUCAAUCUCAUUUGUGAGGUCAAGUGGAAACUUGGCGGAUCCUUUUACUAAACCUCUUACAAGAGAUUUAGUAAGGAUAACAUCUAGAGGGAUGGGACUAAAACUCCUUAAAUAAAACUCACCAAUGAUGGUAACCCAACUUAAUACUACGAAAUGACUAGUCUUAAGUUCAAUGGGUAAAAACAAGUCAUUGACAAGUGGGUUGUGGCAACAUUAGAACAUGUGAGUUCCAUCUGUGAUGAUUAAUGCUGGUUGUUACCGUUGGAGGGUUAAGCUUAAAGCUUUUAAUGAAAUUCAGUCUAUGUGUGACAAGCAUCUUAAAGGUAACAAGGAUGCUGGAAGAAUUUCACCUAUGUGAACUUAGGGGUGGUGCCGCCUCUCAUGAGAGUUGGAGUUUCUUUCAAGAAAGUUCAUGAAUGGAUUGAGCACAUGGCCAUAAAAGUGCUAAGCAAGAAAAUAAUGGGCACUCGUGUGGUUAGUGGAAGUGUGUGUGUUGUUACCGGUUUCGUUACAAGGAAUAACUGGUUCAAUGCUACAAGCAACCUGGGAUUUCAACGGAGCUUUGUGACAAUUACACUAAGGUAAAAUUCAAAUCGAAAGAUAUUUUAUUUUAUGCAUUUUCACUAUUAAGGUUAUAAGGGUUUAUGUUUAUUUUUAACCAAGUGGGGGAUUGUUAUAUUUAUAUAAAUAUAUAUAUAUAUAUAUAUAUAUUGUUGGUUAAAAAAUAAAGUGUAAGAAGAGUUACACUUUUGAAAAUAACUUUUGGAAAAUUAAGUGUAAGAGAGUUACACAUUUGAGAUUAAAUCAUGUUUAAUGUGUGAAUUAAACAUAUGAUUUAAUUUUGAAUGUUACAAAGAUGAAGAGGUUGAGGAAGACAAUGAGUCUUCUCAUCUUUGUAACUUUAUAAACUUAAGAGGUUAAGUGUAAGAGAGUUACACAUUUGAGAUUAAAUCAUGUUUAAUGUGUGAAUUAAACAUAUGAUUUAAUUUUGAAUGUUACAAAGAUGAAGAGAUUGAGGAAGACAAUGAGUUUUUUCUCAUCCUUGUAACCUUUUUUCAACCCUAAGAGUGUUAUAUAUAUAACUUUUAUUCUUUUUGAAAUCUCAUGCAGAAAAGUGAAAAGGCUUGAUCAAUCCCAAGACUAUUUCCAUUUAGUUCCCAAAAGAUUUCUAGAGGUGGGAGGAAAUAGAGUCUUUGGACAAAGUUCCAAGAACUUGUUUGAGCAUUUCUUGUGUUAUUCUUCUUCUUGUUCUUAUUUUGUAUCUAAGAGAGUUUUAUUGUAUCAAAGUGAGUGUGUGAGAGUAUUUCCUUUCUCCAUUGUAUCCAAAUUUUUUCAACAAAGAGUGGGCUCCAUUACUGAAGCUGACCAGCGCAGGAAAAGGGGAAUGGUUCUUCCUUUCGAACCUCUGUCUAUCUCUUUUGAUGAAAUCAGAUAUGCAGUGGACAUGCCACAGGUACCUUUUCUGAGUUUUAAUCAAGAAACUAUGUUUUUGGUCUAGACUGUAGGGGAUUUUUCAUACUAAAGAACCAACUAAUCGUCACGUUUUCUGGAUUAUUUGAUGAUUGAUACUAUGCAGGAAAUGAAAGCACAAGGCGUCACUGAGGACAGAUUGGAACUUCUGAAAGGCGUGAGCGGUUCAUUCAGGCCAGGAAUCCUUACAGCCCUAAUGGGUGUUACCGGUGCUGGAAAAACCACUCUGAUGGAUGUAUUGGCUGGAAGAAAAACCAGUGGAUAUAUUGAAGGAAUUAUCAAAGUGUCCGGGUACCCAAAGAAACAGUAAACUUUUGCUCGUGUGUUGGGAUAUUGUGAGCAAACUGAUAUCCACUCUCCUCACGUUACAGUCUAUGAGUCCUUGAUUUAUUCUGCAUGGCUUCGGUUACCUUCUGAAGUCGAUUCGGCAACCAGGAAGGUUCACAUUCUAAUUGAUAAAGGGCCUAGGGAACUAAGACAAAAUAUUCAGAAUACAAAAGAUGAAGUUCAAUUUAAGCAUAUCAGAUGAUACUGACUUGUAUUCCAACUAAUU
Molecule: long non-coding RNA, 30677 nt
Filed under: Vitis vinifera (wine grape)
Lineage: Eukaryota; Viridiplantae; Streptophyta; Magnoliopsida; Vitales; Vitaceae
Description: long non-coding RNA (VVIN_LNC000954)
Source: RNAcentral